This 61-nucleotide microRNA precursor is filed under the name Capitella teleta. RNAcentral's name for it is "Cte-Mir-219_pre stem-loop". Lineage: Eukaryota; Metazoa; Annelida; Polychaeta; Capitellidae. The record is from RNAcentral.
UGAUUGUCCAAACGCAAUUCUUGUUCACUUCGUUCUCCAAGAACUGUGUUCGGACAUCAAU